RNAcentral lists this unclassified non-coding RNA (378 nucleotides) under plant metagenome. RNAcentral describes it as "partial contains 5.8S ribosomal RNA, internal transcribed spacer 2, and large subunit ribosomal RNA". The stretch from base 1 to 105 matches the Rfam family "5.8S ribosomal RNA", at positions 50 to 154 of the family's 154-position model. The record is from RNAcentral.
GAAAUGCGAUAAGUAAUGUGAAUUGCAGAAUUCAGUGAAUCAUCGAAUCUUUGAACGCACCUUGCGCUCCUUGGUAUUCCUUGGAGCAUGCCUGUUUGAGUAUCAUGAAAUCUUCAAAGUAAAUCUUUUGUUAACUCAAUUGGUUUCUACUUUGGUAUUGGAGGUCUUUGCAGCUUCACACCUGCUCCUCUUUGUUCAUUAGCUGGAUCUCAGUGUUAUGCUUGGUUCCACUCGGCGUGAUAAGUUAUCUAUCGCUGAGGACACUGUAAAAGGUGGCCAAGGUAAAUGCAGAUGAACUGCUUCUAAUAGUCCAUUGACUUGGAAAAUACUUUUAUGAUCUGAUCUCAAAUCAGGUAGGACUACCCGCUGAACUUAAGA